AGGAAAAAAGCCAAGUCAAGAAAUUAUAUUCUGUGAAGCGUAAAACAUUUUCGUGGCCUGUUUAAAGCUAUCACAAAUCAAUUGAAAAUUAUUUAUCAUACAAUAUUCAGGGAUUUAACUCUAGCUCGUCAUACCUGGCUAGGUGGACGAGAGUAAAUACUGCAUUAUCAUCUGUUCCUCCUGACAGGUUAUAGAGCAAUGAAAUCUUCGGAUUGGCAGAUCAUCUCUGACAGCCCAAGGAUCGAAAAUUUAGGUAUGAUGAACUAUGGUUAAGAAAACAUUAAUAAACUAGUAUAUUUAAACUUUAAUAUUUUAUUAAUUAUAUACAAGAACUAGACUAAUUACAAGUGUAUUUAACAAUAAUGUAAUUUGAAUGAUACUGACGAAUAAAGAUGCCUGUAGUUUCGA
Molecule: long non-coding RNA, 408 nt
Organism: Cephus cinctus (wheat stem sawfly)
Lineage: Eukaryota; Metazoa; Arthropoda; Insecta; Hymenoptera; Cephidae
Exons: 2
Source: RefSeq, a predicted model, not a curated record